UCCGGUUUGGCACCGGCAGUCUCCCAUGAGUCCCCGACAUUACUCGCUGGCAACAUGGAACAGGGGUUGCGCUCGUUGCGCCACUUAAGGCAACACCUCACGGCACGAGCUGACGACAGCCAUGCAGCACCUGUGCGGGCUCCCGAAGGAGGACCGGCUUUCACCGGCUUCACCCCGCAUGUCAAGCCCUGGUAAGGUUCUUCGCGUCGCGUCGAAUUAAGCCACAUGCUCCGCCGCUUGUGCGGGGCCCCGUCAAUUCCUUUGAGUUUUAGCCUUGCGGCCGUACUCCCCAGGCGGGGUGCUUAAUGCGUUAGCUUCGGCACAGAGCGGGUCAAUCGCCGCCCCACACCUAGCACCCAACGUUUACGGCUAGGACUAC
This 379-nucleotide unclassified non-coding RNA is filed under the name uncultured Actinomycetes bacterium. RNAcentral's name for it is "uncultured actinobacterium contains 16S-23S intergenic spacer region". Lineage: Bacteria; Bacillati; Actinomycetota; Actinomycetes. The record is from RNAcentral.